GACGAACGCUGGCGGCGUGCUUAACACAUGCAAGUCGAACGGAAAGGCCCUGCUUUUGUGGGGUGCUCGAGUGGCGAACGGGUGAGUAACACGUGUGUAACCUGCCCUUGACUUUGGGAUAACUUCAGGAAACUGGGGCUAAUACCGGAUAGGAGCUCCUGCUGCAUGGUGGGGGUUGGAAAGUUUCGGCGGUUGGGGAUGGACUCGCGGCUUAUCAGCUGGUUGGUGAGGUAGUGACAUACCAAGGUUUCGACGGGUAGCCGGCCUGAGAGGGUGACCGGCGACAAUGGGACUGAGAUACGGCCCAGACGCCUACGGGAGGCAGCGGUGGGGAAUAUUGCGCAAUAGGCGGAAGCCUGAUGCAGCAACGCUGCGUGCGGGAUAACGGCCUUCGGGUUGUAAACCGCUUUCGCCUGUGACGAAGCGUGAGUGACGGUAAUGGGUAAAGAAGCACCGGCUAACUACGUG
RNAcentral lists this ribosomal RNA (468 nucleotides) under uncultured bacterium. RNAcentral's name for it is "partial 16S ribosomal RNA". It matches the Rfam family "Bacterial small subunit ribosomal RNA", at positions 28 to 507 of the family's 1533-position model. The record is from RNAcentral.